This 357-nucleotide long non-coding RNA is filed under the name Lathyrus oleraceus (garden pea). RNAcentral's name for it is "Pisum sativum (pea) long non-coding RNA (PSAT_LNC018375)". Lineage: Eukaryota; Viridiplantae; Streptophyta; Magnoliopsida; Fabales; Fabaceae. The record is from RNAcentral.
UUUGUUUUAUUUUCUUUGUUUUGUUUUCAGUUUUUCUCUUUUUUUGGUUAAAAUUUAAAAUAAAAAAAAAAAUUGCAUACUUUUUCCUUUGGUUUUUGAGUUAGAAUUGUGAGUAUUUUUCUUAGUUCUCGUGACUAAAGUCUUGUGGUGUGAUGUGAAAAAUUUGUUGUGCAUUUUUAAUAUGAUAGGUAGGGCUAAACUCUAAAUUGUAUAUAUUUAGCAGUAGAUCAUUAACCCUGGUGAGCUUUGAGCCUUAUAUGGAUAACAUGCAAAAAUCCAUCUCUUUCUUUCUUAUGUGAUUCACUCAUGUAUGUUAGUCUUUUGAACUUGAAUUGGCUCUUGUUGAUGUUGUUGUUU